RNAcentral lists this ribosomal RNA (253 nucleotides) under uncultured bacterium. RNAcentral describes it as "partial 16S ribosomal RNA". It matches the Rfam family "Bacterial small subunit ribosomal RNA", at positions 524 to 776 of the family's 1533-position model. The record is from RNAcentral.
UACGAAGGGGGCGAGCGUUGUUCGGAUUUACUGGGCGUAAAGGGCGCGCAGGCGGCGAGUUUUGUCAGGCGUGAAAGCCCCGGGCUCAACCUGGGAAUUGCGCUUGAAACGGGCUUGCUAGAGAUCGGGAGAGGAGAGUGGAAUUCCCAGUGUAGAGGUGAAAUUCGUAGAUAUUGGGAAGAACACCAGUGGCGAAGGCGGCUCUCUGGACCGAUACUGACGCUGAGGCGCGAAAGCGUGGGGAGCAAACAGG